RNAcentral lists this ribosomal RNA (466 nucleotides) under uncultured bacterium. Its description in RNAcentral is "partial 16S ribosomal RNA". It matches the Rfam family "Bacterial small subunit ribosomal RNA", at positions 28 to 507 of the family's 1533-position model. The record is from RNAcentral.
GAUGAACGCUGGCGGCGUGCUUAACACAUGCAAGUCGAACGAUGAAGCCCAGCUUGCUGGGUGGAUUAGUGGCGAACGGGUGAGUAACACGUGAGUAACCUGCCCUUAACUCUGGGAUAAGCCUGGGAAACUGGGUCUAAUACCGGAUAGGAGCGCCUACCGCAUGGUGGGUGUUGGAAAGAUUUAUCGGUUUUGGAUGGACUCGCGGCCUAUCAGCUUGUUGGUGAGGUAAUGGCUCACCAAGGCGACGACGGGUAGCCGGCCUGAGAGGGUGACCGGCCACACUGGGACUGAGACACGGCCCAGACUCCUACGGGAGGCAGCAGUGGGGAAUAUUGCACAAUGGGCGAAAGCCUGUUGCAGCGACGCCGCGUGAGGAAUGACGGCCUUCGGGUUGUAAACCUCUUUCAGUAGGGAAGAAGCGAAAGUGACGGUACCUGCAGAAGAAGCACCGGCUAACUACGUG